AAUUCCCUACGGGGGGCAGCAGUGGGGAAUAUUGGGCAAUGGGCGCAAGCCUGACCCAGCAACGCCGCGUGAAGGAAGAAGGCUCUCGGGUUGUAAACUUCUUUUAUCAGGGACGAAGCAAGUGACGGUACCUGAUGAAUAAGCCACAGCUAACUACGUGCCAGCAGCCGCGGUAAUACGUAGGUGGCAAGCGUUAUCCGGAUUUACUGGGUGUAAAGGGCGUGUAGGCGGGAAAGCAAGUUAGAUGUGAAAACCAUGGGC
This 261-nucleotide ribosomal RNA is filed under the name uncultured bacterium. Its description in RNAcentral is "partial 16S ribosomal RNA". It matches the Rfam family "Bacterial small subunit ribosomal RNA", at positions 333 to 608 of the family's 1533-position model. The record is from RNAcentral.